CGAACGCUGGCGGCAGGCCUAACACAUGCAAGUCGAGCGCCCUCUUCGGAGGGAGCGGCGGACGGGUUAGUAACGCGUGGGAAUAUGCCCAAAGGUACGGAACAACAGUUGGAAACGACUGCUAAUACCGUAUGUGCCCUACGGGGGAAAGAUUUAUCGCCUUUGGAUUAGCCCGCGUUGGAUUAGAUAGUUGGUGAGGUAACGGCUCACCAAGUCAACGAUCCAUAGCUGGUUUGAGAGGAUGAUCAGCAACACUGGGACUGAGACACGGCCCAGACUCCUACGGGAGGCAGCAGUGGGGAAUCUUGGACAAUGGGGGCAACCCUGAUCCAGCCAUGCCGCGUGGACGAUGAAGGCCUUAGGGUUGUAAAGUCCUUUCACCGGUGAAGAUAAUGACGGUAGCCGGAGAAGAAGCCCCGGCUAACUCCGUGCCAGCAGCCGCGGUAAU
Molecule: ribosomal RNA, 448 nt
Filed under: uncultured bacterium
Lineage: Bacteria
Description: bacterial SSU rRNA
Rfam family: Bacterial small subunit ribosomal RNA
Source: RNAcentral